Molecule: long non-coding RNA, 463 nt
Filed under: Crocodylus porosus (Australian saltwater crocodile)
Lineage: Eukaryota; Metazoa; Chordata; Crocodylia; Crocodylidae
Description: lncRNA (ENSCPRG00005010003.1)
Source: RNAcentral
GACCAACGACUACAAAACCAUGCUGGAUUUUGAGCUGCCUCUAAAUUGGCUUUGCUGACAAAUCAAACCCUAAAGGUGCCUUAUUUUCAUAAAUGCAAGAUUUCUUCCAUCAAUGAAGAUUCACAGACUGAAAAGGUAGUUGACAAGCACUUGAGGGGAACAGAAGUUUACAAAGAGAUGAGAAAGCUUUAUGGACCUGUGGGAAUACAGUCUAUGAGGCAAAUGUACUCUGAGCAGUUACUGAAGGGAAGCCAGUUAAAUGCUGUACUGUCAUUCCCAAGACAAAGAAUGAUUGAUAACAUCUUGGUCAGGAGAAGCGUACAACAACAUGAGAUGAAAAAAUAAAGGGAUGAAGUAAAAAAGUAAUAACACCAAUCAUUUAUUCAAACUUUCUGUAAGGUUACGUCUGGGAGUAUUUACUAAUAUAUAUUGAAAUCCCCAGAAGUUUAUUCUUUACCAUCCC